ACAUUAGUGGUUCAGUGGUAGAGUUCUCGCCUUGCAUGCAGGAGGCCAGGGUUUGUUUCCUGCUCAUGUA
This 70-nucleotide transfer RNA is filed under the name Loxodonta africana (African savanna elephant). It matches the Rfam family "tRNA". From Rfam's summary of the family: Transfer RNA (tRNA) molecules are approximately 80 nucleotides in length. Their secondary structure includes four short double-helical elements and three loops (D, anti-codon, and T loops). Lineage: Eukaryota; Metazoa; Chordata; Mammalia; Proboscidea; Elephantidae. The record is from Rfam by way of RNAcentral.